This 272-nucleotide ribosomal RNA is filed under the name uncultured bacterium. RNAcentral's name for it is "partial 16S ribosomal RNA". It matches the Rfam family "Bacterial small subunit ribosomal RNA", at positions 84 to 354 of the family's 1533-position model. The record is from RNAcentral.
CCCGCCGGCGACCGGCGCACGGGUGAGUAACACGUAUGCAACCUGGCCGCCACAGGGGGAUAACCCGCGGAAACGCGGCCUAAUACCCCGUGACGCCACCGGAGGGCAUCCUCCGGUGGCCAAAGGAGCGAUCCGGUGGCGGAUGGGCAUGCGGCGCAUUAGCUAGACGGCGGGGUGACGGCCCACCGGGGCGACGAUCAGUAGGGGUUCUGAGAGGAAGGUCCCCCACAUUGGAACUGAGACACGGUCCAAACUCCUACGGGAGGCAGCAG